This 301-nucleotide long non-coding RNA is filed under the name Nicotiana benthamiana. RNAcentral's name for it is "long non-coding RNA (NBEN_LNC030559)". Lineage: Eukaryota; Viridiplantae; Streptophyta; Magnoliopsida; Solanales; Solanaceae. The record is from RNAcentral.
UGCUUCAUUGCUUCUCUUGAUCUUGUCUUGAAUUUCUUGUUUUUGUACUCCAAUUUUGGUCCGUUAAUAGAUUGCAUAUCAUCUCUACAAAACAAAUAUACUUUAGUAUAAACAAAAGUAUAUCUCAAUAAUAACUUAUGAUUAUUUGGCAUGUAUAAUAUUUUCCAUCUUCAUCGGUUUGUCAUUUAUCAAAACCUAUACAAAUGAACACAUUAGUUUUAACAACAUAAUAAAUGUGUUCUAACAAUUUCCCCCUUUUUGAUAAUGGCAAACCUAUAUGGGGAUAUGUAUUAAAANNNNN